UAUACCUUAAUCAUCAGCUUUUAAGGAAGAUUUUAUCGAGGCGAUUUUGGCAUUGAUUCUGUGCAUCUCAUUCAUUUUAUCACAAUGAAACUGCAUUCUGCAACAGUUAUCUGUAUACUUGUUUAAUGCUAUUUUGUGUAGGCUGUAGAUGGUAUUGGCUUGUUAAGUAAAUUUCAUUGGAUAUUUCCCAGCUAGCUUAGAGACUAAUUGUAGAUUUGUCUAUAUUAUUUGUAUUCCCUACUCCAAGAAUGGUUUUUGGUUAGUCCUGCUGCUUGCGGCUUGAGAUUUUAGAUUUGUCUCAUGCUCUCUAUUCAUGUUUUUGUAAUUAUCUUUUCUCCCUAUUCUGUAGGUUUCCUGGGAAAUUUCUCUUUUAAUUCGUUCAGAGUACUCCUUGACUGAACCUUAUGUGGCGCAUGUUCUUAUUGAGGCUAUUCACUGUGGAUCUGUUAUAUUUGUUGGAAACAACAUGGUGAUUCGUGACGCGGACAUGUAUGGAUGUAACAUGGCAAAAUGUACACAUAGUAAUGCUAUGUUGUUAAACUCAAGAUUAAAAUGUACACAUAGUAAUGCUAUGUUGUUCUUGCACUGCAUUGAAUCAAAUGUAAGAAAUCUAAAUUCCAGCAACGAUCUUGGAGUGUUAAGUGGUGACAAGUGGUCAGCAUCACUUGACUCCACUGCAUACCACGUACAGUUUAUGGACUUGCAUUUUUGCUGGAUAUUGCUAGAAAUUGAUCGUUAUAUGCUUAACUGGGGGAGACGGCCAUGAUCCUUCUAAAACAGCUGUAAAAGCAUCUUCAGCAGCCAUUCUGGCAAGAAUUUUGGUAAUGAAUACCAAUUACCUUGCCCAUUUAACAUCACAACCAUAACUAUUGGUAGUUCUCCAGUAGGCAGGAUUCCUCAUUGAAGAAAACAUUCUCCUUUACCUGGUUGACAUAUGGCUUAAAAAGGUCAGCUACUCCUGAACAUAAAUUAGCUACUAAUAUGCAUUUUCCCAAUCCCUCUCUGGGGGUUACCUAAUUUUUGUUUUAUUUACAAAUUGAACUUUGACUGUAGGCCAAUAGCUAUCCCAUAUCCUGAACUGGAGGCUCAUGAUUAUUUAUUUAUGGCUAAUAUAUUACGAUAAAGACAAGGAUAAAUUAUUCUAAUCUAAAAAUGGGUUUGGAGAAACUGCACCGCUUGGAAAGAAAGUGGACGUUUUGGUUUUUUUUCUUUGUGGUAAUGUUUUCCCACCUCCCAUCUUCCAGGGUAAGCAGGAUAACCAUAAAAAAACAAAGUAUGUCCAAAUUUCUGUGGAGUCGUAUACACAUCUAAUUGGGUUUGAGGAUGAAGUGAAGUCUUACGAGGACCAAGUGAAUUCAUACGAGGAUCAAGUGAAGACAUUUGAGGAUCAAGUGACUUCAUACGAGGUUCAAGUGACUUCGUAUAAGGAUCAAGUGAAAGCAUUAGAAGAUGAUGUUGAGGAAUUGAAUGAAAAGCUGUCUGCUGCGAAUUCAGAGUUGACAACGAAGGAAAGUCUAGUAAAAUAGCACGCUAAACUUGCUGAAGAAGCUGUUUUAGGUACGUUGGUGUGGUGCUGGUCGUCCAUGAAAUAUUAGGUCGUGCAAUGUCAUAUAUUUUAUUCUUUUUUUAGAGUAAGAGAUUUUAUGAAAUUGAUUCAUUUCCUCGAACAGGUUGGGAAAAAGCUGAGGUAGAAGCUUUGGCAUUGAAAAAUCAUCUAGAAUCAGUUACAUUGUUAAAGCUUACUGCUGAAGAUCGAGCAUCACAUUUAGAUGGUGCUUUGAAGGAGUGCAUGCGGCAGAUUAGAAAUUUAAAAGAAGAACAUGAGCAGAAACUGCAGGAAGUUGUUCUUACCAAAACACAGUAAUACGAUAUGAUAAAGCUUGAGCUCGAAACACAGUUGAUAUAUUUAUUAGCUUUGGUAAGUUGGUGUUCAUUAGGUGCUUGUCUUGAUUUUGUAGGAGUGUAGAAAACUCUUUCUUGUGAAGUUGCCAGAAAGUAGAAAGUUCAUUGUAUCGAAAAACCAAAAAUUACUUGCGGUUCCUUUGGGUAUUGCAUCUGUGAAACACUGUGGGUAUUGCAUAAACUACACGGCAUAUGUAGUUUUUAAAAGCAUGUACAUGUCAUAACCCUCAUUAUUCUGUGCAAAGAGAAAUGACAUUCAAGAUACUUGACAGGCUAAUGGAUUCUGUAGAAAGACAAUUAGGAUAGGGGUUUCAAGUUAGAAAAUUUGAACACUUUUUCUCUUAUUGAUGAUCCUUGUGACACUGGUAGAUUUUUAAAAUGGUUAAACUAAGUGGUACAACUAUAUCUCUUUUGGUUUCAUGAAGUGAUAGGAAUCAUAUAUACAAGAUAGUAAUAAUCUUAAUAUACAUAAAUUAUUAAGUCGGUCUGUUGUUAGAAUAUAAUCAUAUACCUUAAUCAUCAGCUUUUAAGGAAGAUUUUAUCGAGGCGAUUUUGGCAUUGAUUCUGUGCAUCUCAUUCAUUUUAUCACAAUGAAACUGCAUUCUGCAACAGUUAUCUGUAUACUUGUUUAAUGCUAUUUUGUGUAGGCUGUAGAUGGUAUUGGCUUGUUAAGUAAAUUUCAUUGGAUAUUUCCCAGCUAGCUUAGAGACUAAUUGUAGAUUUGUCUAUAUUAUUUGUAUUCCCUACUCCAAGAAUGGUUUUUGGUUAGUCCUGCUGCUUGCGGCUUGAGAUUUUAGAUUUGUCUCAUGCUCUCUAUUCAUGUUUUUGUAAUUAUCUUUUCUCCCUAUUCUGUAGGUUUCCUGGGAAAUUUCUCUUUUAAUUCGUUCAGAGUACUCCUUGACUGAACCUUAUGUGGCGCAUGUUCUUAUUGAGGCUAUUCACUGUGGAUCUGUUAUAUUUGUUGGAAACAACAUGGUGAUUCGUGACGCGGACAUGUAUGGAUGUAACAUGGCAAAAUGUACACAUAGUAAUGCUAUGUUGUUAAACUCAAGAUUAAAAUGUCAUGGGAUACAGGUUUCCGGGAACAGGGGAGCGAGUGGUAUUGAUGGUCUGCUUAGCACUGCUGUUGGAUUUACUGUAUGAUGUAAAGAUAAUGAAUUAUUAUGUAGUGGA
This 3075-nucleotide long non-coding RNA is filed under the name Panax ginseng (ginseng). RNAcentral describes it as "long non-coding RNA (PGIN_LNC000208)". Lineage: Eukaryota; Viridiplantae; Streptophyta; Magnoliopsida; Apiales; Araliaceae. The record is from RNAcentral.